GUGCUUGCUUCGGCAGCACAUAUACUAAAAUUGAAACGAUACAGAGAAGAUUAGCAUGGCCCCUGCUCAAGGAUGACACGCAAAUUCGUGAAGCGUUUCAUAUUUUU
RNAcentral lists this small nuclear RNA (107 nucleotides) under Cavia aperea (Brazilian guinea pig). The record is from RNAcentral. Lineage: Eukaryota; Metazoa; Chordata; Mammalia; Rodentia; Caviidae.